RNAcentral lists this ribosomal RNA (253 nucleotides) under uncultured bacterium. RNAcentral's name for it is "partial 16S ribosomal RNA". It matches the Rfam family "Bacterial small subunit ribosomal RNA", at positions 524 to 776 of the family's 1533-position model. The record is from RNAcentral.
UACGUAGGGGGCAAGCGUUAUCCGGAUUUACUGGGUGUAAAGGGAGCGUAGACGGCGAUGCAAGUCUGAAGUGAAAGGCGGGGGCCCAACCCCCGGACUGCUUUGGAAACUGUAUGGCUGGAGUGCAGGAGAGGUAAGUGGAAUUCCUAGUGUAGCGGUGAAAUGCGUAGAUAUUAGAAGGAACACCAGUGGCGAAGGCGGCUUACUGGACUGUAACUGACGUUGAGGCUCGAAAGCGUGGGGAGCAAACAGG